GGAUGAAUAUUGGUCAAUGGACGAGAGUCUGAACCAGUCAAGUAGCAUGCAGGAUGACGGCCCUAUGGGUUGUAAACUGCUUUUAUACGGGGAUAAAAGGUGUCACGUGUGACAUUUUGCAGGUACCGUAUGAAUAAGGACCGGCUAAUUCCGUGCCAGCAGCCGCGGUAAUACGGAAGGUCCGGGCGUUAUCCGGAUUUAUUGGGUUUAAAGGGAGCGUAGGCUGCCGGUUAAGUGUGUUGUGAAAUGC
RNAcentral lists this ribosomal RNA (250 nucleotides) under uncultured bacterium. RNAcentral describes it as "partial 16S ribosomal RNA". It matches the Rfam family "Bacterial small subunit ribosomal RNA", at positions 355 to 602 of the family's 1533-position model. The record is from RNAcentral.